CGGCAUAGCUCAGUUGGUAGAGCAGUUGAUUUGUAAUCAUCAGGUCGGGAGUUCAAGUCUCUCUGCCGGC
This 70-nucleotide transfer RNA is filed under the name human gut metagenome. It matches the Rfam family "tRNA". From Rfam's summary of the family: Transfer RNA (tRNA) molecules are approximately 80 nucleotides in length. Their secondary structure includes four short double-helical elements and three loops (D, anti-codon, and T loops). The record is from RNAcentral. RNAcentral also lists the same sequence under 2 other names.